CCUACGGGAGGCUGCAGUGAGGAAUAUUGGUCAAUGGGCGAGAGCCUGAACCAGCCAAGUAGCGUGCAGGAUGACGGCCCUAUGGGUUGUAAACUGCUUUUAUGCGGGGAUAAAGUGCUCCACGUGUGGGGCAUUGCAGGUACCGCACGAAUAAGGACCGGCUAAUUCCGUGCCAGCAGCCGCGGUAAUACGGAAGGUCCAGGCGUUAUCCGGAUUUAUUGGGUUUAAAGGGAGCGUAGGCCGAUGGCCAAGCGUGUUGUGAAAUGUGGACGCUCAACGUCCGACUUGCAGCGCGAACUGGCCGUCUUGAGUGCGCGCAACGUUGGCGGAAUUCGUCGUGUAGCGGUGAAAUGCUUAGAUAUGACGAAGAACUCCGAUUGCGAAGGCAGCUGACGGGAGCGCAACUGACGCUGAAGCUCGAAGGUGCGGGUAUCGAACAGGAUUAGAUACCCCGGUAGUC
This 460-nucleotide ribosomal RNA is filed under the name uncultured Prevotella sp. RNAcentral's name for it is "bacterial SSU rRNA". It matches the Rfam family "Bacterial small subunit ribosomal RNA", at positions 338 to 795 of the family's 1533-position model. The record is from RNAcentral. Lineage: Bacteria; Pseudomonadati; Bacteroidota; Bacteroidia; Bacteroidales; Prevotellaceae.